CAUGGGGGAAGGUUGAAAGGUGGCUUCGGCUAUCACUUACAGAUGGACCCGCGGCGCAUUAGCUAGUUGGUGAGGUAAUGGCUCACCAAGGCGACGAUGCGUAGCCGACCUGAGAGGGUGAUCGGCCACACUGGGACUGAGACACGGCCCAGACUCCUACGGGAGGCAGCAGUAGGGAAUCUUCCGCAAUGGACGAAAGUCUGACGGAGCAACGCCGCGUGAGUGAAGAAGGUUUUCGGAUCGUAAAACUCUGUUGUUAGGGAAGAACAAGUGCCGUUCGAAUAGGGCGGCGCCUUGACGGUACCUAACCAGAAAGCCACGGCUAACUACGUGCCAGCAGCCGCGGUAAUACGUAGGUGGCAAGCGUUGUCCGGAAUUAUUGGGCGUAAAGCGCGCGCAGGUGGUUUCUUAAGUCUGAUGUGAAAGCCCACGGCUCAACCGUGGAGGGUCAUUGGAAACUGGGGAACUUGAGUGCAGAAGAGGAAAGUGGAAUUCCAAGUGUAGCGGUGAAAUGCGUAGAUAUUUGGAGGAACACCAGUGGCGAAGGCGACUUUCUGGUCUGUAACUGACACUGAGGCGC
This 580-nucleotide ribosomal RNA is filed under the name Rossellomorea aquimaris. RNAcentral describes it as "bacterial SSU rRNA". It matches the Rfam family "Bacterial small subunit ribosomal RNA", at positions 188 to 754 of the family's 1533-position model. The record is from RNAcentral. Lineage: Bacteria; Bacillati; Bacillota; Bacilli; Caryophanales; Bacillaceae.